UUUUACAAAAACAAAUGUAGACUCAAUUUCCCGAAGCUAGAAGAGCUAAUAUUUAUUAAUUCUGCUAGGACCCAAUAAAUUUUCUGUGGCAUUAGGAAAAAAGUAAAUUAAUAUUAGGAGUGAAACGCUAUCACUUUUGGGGAUAUCUGGAUAAUUCUUAAAUACAUUUAGUGUAUAAAAAAAAUUUAUUUGGUGUUAAGAUCAUGUAAUAGAAAAUUAAUCUUAAAAGUAUUUACCUUUUCUAAUAAUCUUAAAUGAGGUGAUGUUUUAAAUUAACUAUAUUAGCGGUGUAAUUACUAUUCUAAGUUUUAAUUUAUAGCUAAAUAGAUUAGCAGAAAAGAUAAUGUAAAAAUUAGUAUUUAAAUAAUAAUCGCUUAAGGAACUCGACAAAUAUACUCUCCGACUGUUUAGCAAAAACAUAGCGACAUGAAUUAAUAUGUGGUUGUACCUGCCCGGUGAUAUGUUUUAACGGCCGCAGUACUCUGACUGUGCAAAGGUAGCAUAAUAAUUUGGCUUUUAAUUGGGGUCUAGAAUAAAAGGGGGAACGGGGGGAAGUUGUCUCAAGUGAUCUUUAAGUAAUUUAAUUAAUAAGUGAAAAUACUUAUACGCAAAUAAAAGACGAGAAGACCCUUAGAAUUUUAAGAAAAAUCUUCUUAGGAAGAUAAACUUUUUGUUGGGGCAACAGAUAUUCAAUAGAAAUAACAUUAUAUAUUUUCAAUUUAUGUGCCGAUUAUAUAUUAUUAAAUAAAUUACCUAAGGGAUAACAGCAUAAUCUUCUUUAAGGUUUGUGACCUCGAUGUUGGACUAGGGAUUAUAAGUACUAGCCGUAUUUAUAGAAGGUUCUGUUCGAACUUUUUCCCCUACAUGAUCUGAGUUCAGACCGG
This 884-nucleotide ribosomal RNA is filed under the name Mauritanica perinni polygyra. Its description in RNAcentral is "partial 16S ribosomal RNA". Lineage: Eukaryota; Metazoa; Mollusca; Gastropoda; Stylommatophora; Clausiliidae. The record is from RNAcentral.